GGUUCCGUGGUGUAACGGUUAGCACUCUGGACUCUGAAUCCAGUAAUCCGAGUUCAAAUCUCGGCGGAACCU
This 72-nucleotide transfer RNA is filed under the name Helobdella robusta. Its description in RNAcentral is "tRNA-Gln for anticodon CUG". It matches the Rfam family "tRNA". Rfam says of the family: Transfer RNA (tRNA) molecules are approximately 80 nucleotides in length. Their secondary structure includes four short double-helical elements and three loops (D, anti-codon, and T loops). Further hydrogen bonds mediate the characteristic L-shaped molecular structure. tRNAs have two regions of fundamental functional importance: the anti-codon, which is responsible for specific mRNA codon recognition, and the 3' end, to which the tRNAs corresponding amino acid is attached (by aminoacyl-tRNA synthetases). tRNAs cope with the degeneracy of the genetic code in two manners: having more than one tRNA (with a specific anti-codon) for a particular amino acid; and 'wobble' base-pairing, i.e. permitting non-standard base-pairing at the 3rd anti-codon position. The record is from Rfam by way of RNAcentral. Lineage: Eukaryota; Metazoa; Annelida; Clitellata; Rhynchobdellida; Glossiphoniidae.